Molecule: long non-coding RNA, 940 nt
Organism: Heterocephalus glaber (naked mole-rat)
Lineage: Eukaryota; Metazoa; Chordata; Mammalia; Rodentia; Bathyergidae
Source: Ensembl
UUGCCGGCCGGGGUUCACCUGCUCUGCAGCUUGCCUCUGCGCCGUCCGGACACGGUCCGGGGUUUCUGAACGCUCAGCCUCUCAGCAGUCAGUUUCAGGACGUUCUGGUCAGCCUGGGCGAGGAGCCACCCCACCCCACCCCGGGAGCCUCUGUCACGCCUGUCACUCCUGUCCGACCCAGACCCGGUGAGCGCGCACACAGGCCCGUCUGGAGUCCCGCUUUGCUCACAGCCUAAGGCUUUCAGGGCUCAUCCAUGGCACAGCGUUUCUCGUAUCCACUCCCUGUAUGAAAACUUCCACUUUGCGUGCGACCACGUUGAUGCACGUUCGGAUUAUUUCCAUUUCUGGCUGGACUUGCUGCUUUCUGCCUGCCAUGGACUGUUUCUCCUCUGUGACGCCCCUCUGCCCUGCCACUCUGCCUUGGAGCCAGCCGACUACAACUGAAACCUCUACAGACUCUGAGCUAAAUAAACCUCUCCUUCUUUAACUUUGGAUGCCGGGUAUUUUGUGUCAACAGCUAGAAAAGUGACUAAACAGGAGUGGUAUCAUCAUUCACAGUUGUGCUGCUGGUCCUUGAGUUUGCCUCUGGCAGAGACUCAAAACUCCCUGGCUGUUGGACCUCCCAGGGCCAAGGCUGGCUCUGGGCCUAAAUAAUGAGCAGUAAGGACACUCACCACCUUGGAGCCAAGAGUUCAGAGCCAGUAUCUGGCUCUUGUUUAUUCCUCUGAUAUAGACCAGCAACAUCCCAGAUAAAACACACUCUAUGACCCUGGGUCUCCACGUGAGCAGAGCUGCAGCUGACCCAUAUAGAAUGCCAUGCGUGGAUGAAGAAAGAAUUCCAAUGUGUUAUGUCCAUGUUCUGUCUCCCCACAAUGAAUGUAAUCAUUUACUGCAAACAUACACUGAUAAAAUAAUAAAAAUUAAUUUUUUAAAAAGGUAA